UACGGGGGGGGCAAGCGUUGUUCGGAAUUACUGGGCGUAAAGGGCUCGUAGGUGGCCAACUAAGUCAGACGUGAAAUCCCUCGGCUUAACCGGGGAACUGCGUCUGAUACUGGAUGGCUUGAGUUCGGGAGAGGGAUGCGGAAUUCCAGGUGUAGCGGUGAAAUGCGUAGAUAUCUGGAAGAACACCCGUGGCGAAGGCGGUUCUCUGGGACGGUACUGACGCUGAGACGCGAAAGCGUGGGGAGCGAACAGG
RNAcentral lists this ribosomal RNA (253 nucleotides) under uncultured bacterium. RNAcentral's name for it is "partial 16S ribosomal RNA". It matches the Rfam family "Bacterial small subunit ribosomal RNA", at positions 524 to 776 of the family's 1533-position model. The record is from RNAcentral.